RNAcentral lists this ribosomal RNA (377 nucleotides) under uncultured bacterium. RNAcentral's name for it is "bacterial SSU rRNA". It matches the Rfam family "Bacterial small subunit ribosomal RNA", at positions 523 to 898 of the family's 1533-position model. The record is from RNAcentral.
AUACGUAGGGGGCAAGCGUUGUCCGGAAUUAUUGGGCGUAAAGGGCGCGUAGGCGGAUGUUUAAGUCCGGUGUGAAAGAUCAGGGCUCAACCCUGAGAGUGCAUCGGAAACUGGACAUCUUGAGGACAGGAGAGGAAAGUGGAAUUCCUAGUGUAGCGGUGAAAUGCGUAGAUAUUAGGAGGAACACCAGUGGCGAAGGCAACUUUCUGGACUGUUACUGACGCUGAGGCGCGAAAGCGUGGGGAGCAAACAGGAUUAGAUACCCUGGUAGUCCACGCUGUAAACGAUGAGUGCUAGGUGUAGAGGGUAUCGACCCCUUCUGUGCCGCAGUUAACACAAUAAGCACUCCGCCUGGGGAGUACGGCCGCAAGGUUGAA